RNAcentral lists this ribosomal RNA (325 nucleotides) under uncultured eukaryote. RNAcentral describes it as "partial 18S ribosomal RNA". It matches the Rfam family "Eukaryotic small subunit ribosomal RNA", at positions 1470 to 1796 of the family's 1831-position model. The record is from RNAcentral.
CCCUUAGAUGUUCUGGGCCGCACGCGCGCUACACUGAUGCAUUCAACGAGCCUAUCCUUGACCGACAGGUCCGGGUAAUCUUUGAAUCUGCAUCGUGACGGGGAUAGAUUAUUGCAAUUAUUAAUCUUCAACGAGGAAUGCCUAGUAGGCGCAAGUCAUCAGCUUGCGUCGAUUACGUCCCUGCCCUUUGUACACACCGCCCGUCGCUCCUACCGAUUGGGUGUGCUGGUGAAAUGUUCGGAUCGGCCGUUUGUCGCGGUUUCCGCGUCACGUGGCUGAGAAGUUCAUUAAACCCUCCCACCUAGAGGAAGGAGAAGUCGUAACA